CGUGCUCCCUUGGCCGCAUGCUUUUAUGGUGAGGAAUAAACAGAGCCUUCCCUCCUCGAGCUCCCGGCAGUGCCCUCUCUGGGAAACGGCUUUCCAUGUCCGUGCCGCUCCGCCUCGCUGAGCCCGAGCCGGGAGGAUCUGUAGCAUCCAACAUCGUUGGCCCAAAACGCGGCGUGUCCAAUUAUUCGCCUGGAUGAUGGGGAGCUCCCGGGAGAAGCCCAACGACAACAGCAAAGUGAGGAAAUCAGUGUGCUGUGGGGCGGUGGGACCCCCAUGCUGGUGUCUGUGGCACAGUGUGGGGCUGAGCAGUCACAGAACUGCAGAAUCGGGAAGGCUGGGAAGAUCUCUGAGAACCCCAAGCCCACCCCACAGUGCCCACUGGCUGUGCUCUCAGUGCUGCAUCUCCACCGUUCAGGUACACCUCCAGGAAGCCCCUGGGUGCUGCUGUGCCGUGGGUCUCACCACACCUCAGAGCUUCUCAUCCCUCCUGCUGCUCUGUCCAAGGCCACAGGGUGGGUGUCGGGUGGUACCGAGAGCCUCCAUGUCCUGCUUUGGGGAGUUGGUAUCCACAGCCUUCAAGAACAGGCUGGCUACCAGAUGGGUGAACCAAAUAAGCCUCCAACAUUUAUCUGAGAGUUCGACGUUUUCCUGUGUUGUUAACCGCAGAGGAAACUAGGUGGUUUGCAGCCACGCUGAGCCGCUGCCAGCCCCCAGCCUUCGAAUAUUUUCACAGGGAGGGGGAGGAGGGAGGGGGCUUUUUCCUCCAAGCCAGAUGGCCGUAUGGAAUCAAUAAAAGUCCGUUUCAAAAGUUUGUUUACUUAACAUUGAAUAUAAUAUGCCUUUGUGGUCCCUUUGCACUGCACAAAAAUGUGAUCCAGCACCGAGCUAAUGAGGAGAGCGCUGCGGAGGACAUCGCUGCACCGGUCGUUGCCUUUUGCACCCACCUCGUGGGCUCUGUGGGGGCUUUUAGGGCUUGUAGGGCUGUGGGGCAGCAGGGACUCUUUCUUUCUUGCUGGAGCUCUGGAUGGUGGUACUUGGGCUGUGAGGAUGUCAGCUGGAUGUUGGGUGUUGGAAAUCAGAUGUUGGAUGUUGGUAGUCAGAUGUCGGAAGUCAGAUGUUGGAUAUUGGAUGCUGGGUGUUGAAAGUUGGAUGUUGGAAGUUGGGUGUUGGAAGUCAGGUGUUGGGUAUUGGUAGUUGGAUGUUGGAAGUUGGGUGUUGGAAUUCAGGUGUUGGGUAUUGGUAGUUGGAUGUUGGAAGUCAGGUGUCGGAUAUUGGAAGCUGGGUGUUGGAAGUCAGAUGUUGGAUAUUGGAUAUUGGAAGUUGGGUGUUGGAAAUUGAGUGUUGGAAGUUGAAUGUCAGAAGUUGGAUGUUAGAUGCUGGGUGUUGGAACUUGGAUGUUGAUUGGGUGCAGCCCCUAAAACCUGUGCAGGAGGAAGGCUCAGCAUGUGUGAAAUAUCUGAAACCUUGUAAGGUAUUCAUCUUGUGCUGUAAUUAUUUUUAAACAUCCCAAAUUAUAUGAGUAGUACAGGGAAAACAAUGUCGGCUUGUCUUUAAAACACAGCCUUUCAUUACGGAAAUCUGUCAUCUGUUAAUUCAUUAGAGCCCCGACAGAAAGAGCUGAGAUCAAAACUAUUUUAAAUGAUUCCUGAUGACACACAAUGGCAAAUUUCAGCCAUUAUUCCGGAAAUGUAACCAUCAUUCUUUCUGCUGGAUUCAACAAGGGUCCUUCCUCUGAUAUUAAUUGACUUCUAAGUAGUUGCACAUGUUGUUGUUGUGUUAUUGCUCAGAUCUCUUUCUGAAGUGCGUGGCGAUGUGAGCAAGAAGCCUUGGGCUCCUCAGAUCUCUCUGUCAGACCCACACAGCACUGAGCUCUUAGCACUGGGAACCAGGGGAUCACCAAGCUCUGGGCUCUGCUGCCUUCACCUGCUUUAGUGAGCGGGGGGCAGUUAGCCUCCAUGAGAAAAAGAAUAAAAAACACCACACAUCUGUUUUGUUUUUCUGUUGGUUUUUUUCUUUCUUUCUUUCCUUUUUUUUUUUUUUUCCCUGAAGAUCCAAGGCAGAAUUUCAAAGCAAAUUCCAAAUCUUAUUUUGCUGCCUUUGUUUCCACGACAUCUCUGCGGGCGCAGCUGUCUGCACUGCUCAUGGAGCCAUCCAAGAGCCCGCAUGGCAAACGCAGACCCAAGGUGCUGGGACAGGCUCUGUGCUGUUAAUGAAUUUAUUUGUUAAUGGCAUUAUUGCCACUCAAAGCAAGCUGCAGAAUCUGUGGAGUAUUUGCCAUUUGCAUUGUUUUCCCUUUGCAUUUCAGGCUUGGCUGGGGCAGCGCAGGUGCUGGUGGCCUCGUGAUGCUGGAAAGCCAUGUUCAUCCUCCUUGGUCUUUGUGGCUCAGCUGGUGCUGUGUGGGUAAUGCCUCACAUCUGCUGUGUGCACAGCACAACAUGGUCCUGGGAACCUGAAAGACGUGGAAGAAAACCAAGUCCUGUCCUUCAUGCAGCUUCUGCCACAAGGUCUCGUUGGCUUUGUAACAAGGCACAGAACGACCUGAUGAUGGGAAGGAUGUACAGAUGCUUCUCAGUUGGGCACUGUGUGGCUCUGAGCGCUCACCUCGAGCUGCUGGCUCUGCCCCCAGGUGCUCCCCCGUUGGCAGGAGGGAUGCUGCUGCUCCUGUCACAGCUGUCCCCUUAUGGCUGCAGAACCCUUGCUCGGGGCUCCUGAUACCCAGGGCUGGUCCAGGUGCUCCUGGAGUCCGGCCAGCUGUGAUAAAUCUCCUUAAUUGCAGCUCAUUGUAAUUAUGCUUUAUAUGGAGCUGAUGCUAUUACUGCUGGGUGCUUUGGCCUGAUCAAUCCUAAGCAGGAGAUCUCUAGCCCUCCUUGGGGGCUGGGGACAUUGAGCUCCAGGGUUUGCUGGGGCUGGUGGAGCUGGCUUUCAGCCCUGUGCUGCAAUGGGCAGAGUGCAGGAGCAAAGGUAGUGGGGAGAUGGCCAUCCGUACCUCACUUCAUUUUGGUACUGUCCACCCAAGAACCUGUCUGGUGCGUGUGCAGAACCUUCAGCAUUAAUGACCCUCUGAAAGGUAAGCAAUCAGAGAAUCAUUACGGUUGGAAAUGGCAUCUGAGAUCCCCACCCCACCAUGCCCACUGACCACAUCCCUCGGUGCCACAUCUCUAUGUUCCCUGAGCAUCCCCAGGGAUGGAGACCUCCACCGCUCCCUGGGCACCCUGUGCUGGUGCAUUACAGCUCUUCAGAGAAGAAAUGUUUCCAGAUGUCCAGCCUGAUCCUCUCCUGGUGCAAUGUGGGACCAUCACCUCUCAUCCUAUCAACACCACUGCCAUCUCCAGCCCUUCUCUAAGCGCUCCAUGCAUCCACAGCGGGUAUUGAGGUCACGUUUUGGGCACGCAGCCCCAUUUGCUGAGGGGUGAGGUGAGUGUCGUGAGUCAGAAUGAGUUUUCCCAUAGGAAAUGCCCCACGGUCUCUUCCCACCCAGCAGCGGGCGCUCCCGACCCGGGGUGCUCCAUGGAUCAUGGCACGGCUCCAUCUGGCUGAUCCCAAGGAAUGCCCGGGCGCAGCCGCAGCUCCGGGGGAUUAAACUGAAGUCUAACGUUACACCCCUUGGAAGAGCAGAGCUUUACUUGGAAACCGAAUCGCAUUAAUUAGCAUUCUGCUAAUGGCUGUUUUGUAUAAAUAUAGUGUGCCUUAAUACCAACACGAGUCGCAGGUUGACAUAUUUAGAUCGCUGAUAUCAAAGUCAUUAACGCCUCUCCGUGGUAAACCUAUUCUCAGUUCGGGCUGCAAAUGGGAUUCUCCUGAGCCAAUCAAUCUUCCUAAAGCCUGAGCAGAGCCUGUUGAUCUUUAGCCACUGAAUGGAUGCAGCUUCCCAGAAAUGUGCUUGCAUCUGUCAGAAUUAUAAGCAGCUGGCAGCCCCAGACAGGGGUCAUAUUUGCCGUGAGUGUGAAAAUAGGAUCCCAGGACAAGAAAUGCUACUUAGCAGCGUAUCGAUUCUGGGCGUGCUAUUAAUGUUGCAGCACAAUGCGUGUGUGUGUCCGUGCAGGCACUCCUGCACAUGCCAAUUAUGUAUUUAUACGCAAGGUCUCCUCUCACACAGACCCCGUGGUCCUGGAGCUGAUCCAGGGCUUAUUAAAACUUGGUGACAUCAAAGGAUGGGAAAGGUCUGCCCGAGCUGAGGAACUCGGAGAGCUUAACAAUUAUUUUGCCUUAAUUCCCUCCUAAUUUAUCGUCUUUUUAUUGCCCUGAUUAAAAGCUCCCCUGUUUGAUAGCGGCACCGAAGGUAAUGGCGUUCUUCCGAGACUGAUGGGUGGCAAUUCCAGCAGGGGCUGCUGCCAUCUGUGGGGCACUGCUGUGGGUUUCUGUCACAGCGUUGCCACCACAGCCACACUGCCAGCGCAGUGCCAUCCCUGUGCUGCUCUGUGUGCCAGGCUGUGCGCUCAGCAUCGUGGCUCCUCAUGGCGCAGCCCCACAGCUCGACCCGGUGCUCAUCGCAGUGCUGUUCCGUGCUGGUUAUUAUUAGAUGGCAGUGACACGGAUCAAAGCACGUAAGCCCAACUUCUGAAGCACGCAACCACCAACCUCGUCCAGGAGAUCUUGCUCAUUGCUGCAGCUUAGGGCCAAGCGUUUUAGCUUGAGCGUUUUCAGCCUUGGAUUACAAAUUGCAACACUUCUGAAGUCUGUGGGACUCAGCGCCUUCAGUUUCCAUGCUGGGGAUGGUGAAGGGAUACUCCUGCAUCUGUUCCAUGAGAUUGCCAAGCAGCACAAUGGGAAACAUGCUGGGCAACAAAUGGGAAUGGGCCGGCAGCAGUGAGAGCUGACUUUGUCAGUGGAGUUUUUUGGUGUUAUUUUUCUAAUUUUUUUCUUUUUCUUUGGUUGGGAGGACAUAAUAACACCUGUGCUUGGCUGAUGGAUGUUAAAUAAUGCUCCUUUCCUGGAUUGAGGCAGACGGCAUGUAACACUGAGGUCUGUGUGCUGCACUGAUUACCCUGAGCCCCUGUUUGGGUUGUCUGGGGCUGAGCUGCUCUCCCUGGAGCUCUGGAGCGGCUGCAGUUCACCAUCGGAAGUUUCUAGAAUUGGACCCAUCAGUAAAGGUAUUGCACAAAAAUGAGCGUGAGGCAAGAGAGCGGUCAGGGUGUGGGAAAUACACUUGGUAUGAAUGACUGUGAGUAUGGACUGAUGCUCCCAGGCGUCAUCACAUGCUCACUGCUGCCUGUCCUCACCCAUCUGCACCGUGUGCGUCUUCAGCUGCAACUGGGCUGCUUGCUUAUCAUACCCAGGUGCCUGCCAAAUGGGAAAGCUGUCUUCAAAAAGAUAUAAGCGGGGAUGAUUCUUAUGCCAUUAUUGCUCAGGGUCUGCUGAAUGCUUGCAGGGCAAAGCAGUGCAUCCUUGAGAAUGUCUGAAAUGCUGCGUUAUAGGCGCACCAGUUGCAAAAUAGAUUUAAAUUACGUCGAGCAACAUGCUGCGGAAUUUAUGCUUCCAAUUUCUCCAUUUAGUGGUGAAUCAGGCUUGUUUGCAUUGCCAGCUAAUCUUUCUGCCAGAGUUGUUAAUGUGCUCUGACCCCUCUUUAACUCUGCAUGCUGAGCUUGCCAUUCAGCUUUUCUCUCUUAGCAGUGAAUCAGCCACAUGUGCCGGAGCCCCACUGCACAGCCCCUGUGGGCUGGAGGUGGCCUUGAGUGGCUUUUCCUGGUGAGACUCUGAGAUUUCAUUUGCUUGCAAGAAACCUGAGUUCUCUAGACGUUGCACCUUGCUUUCUCUGGAAGGCUUCCAGCAUUCAUUCUUGACAGGGAGCCAGCUCAGGCUGCCGUCCUGCUGCUGGAGGGCACUCCCAGCCUGGUGCUGUUGGGAAGCCCUGCUGCUCCCACACCAGCACGGUGCUUUUUGCACUGAGCGUGGCCCAAGUUGCAACUACAGCCCGUGACUCAUUUGCUCAGUGCUUGCCAAGGCUGCUGAGUGGCUCCUGCUGCUCCCAGGGUGCCUCCCGUGCCCUGUAGGCUGCUGCUGCAUCUCCCUUCAUGUUCUGCUGGCACCACAGAUGUCUGUGUACUGCACCUCCUUAAAAUGAUAGAAUCAUUCUGGUCGGAGAAGACCUCUGGGAUCCCCAGCCCAUCCCACCAAGCCCACUGACCAUACAUCCCUCAGUGCCCCACCUCCAUGCUCCCUGGGCACCCCCAGGAAUGGUGACCCCACCACUCCCUGGGCAGCCUGUCCUGGUGUGUUUCAGCUCUUUUGGAAAAUAAAUGUCCCCUAAUAUCCAACCUGAGCUCCCCUGGCACCACUUAAGGCCAUUCCCUAGACAUAAAACCCGAGAACCUUUAGGACCUCUAAGAUCAUCAGGUCCAACCAACCAACCCACCACCAUGACCACUCAUCCAAGUAUUUCUUUAGGGAGGAUGUAGGAUGCUGUAGAAGUGCUGUUCCCAGUGCCCAGCGUCUACUCAGGGCUCCCAUGUGUCUGAAGCAUAGCCAACCCGCCACUAAUGCCCCCUCCUCAGCUGGCGCUAUGGUGCAGUCCCACGUAGAGUAUGCCAAUGGGGAAUCCCUCCACGGUGCACUGAGGGCACACUGCCCCCGAUGCACCCGCACGCACGCAGCCUGCAAAAUCGAAUAACAACCAGUUUAAAAACAUACUAAAACCAGAAAAUUUAUGUAGCAUGACCCAAAUUGAAUUAUACAUUACAGCACUGUAAUUGAUUUUUUAGAAGAGAGAUUAAAUUUAUUUUAUGCCUCACUAACUAACAGCUAGAUUUACCUAAUUGCUUAGAGUGCAGAGUUAGUAUGAUUCAUUAAACCCCAUACAUGCCUGGGUACAUUACACUGUGACUAAAGCUUCCCUGCUUCGAGCAAUUAAAGUGGAGAAACUUGGGGCCUCAUAAGUAAUUGAAUAUAACAAUACGGCUUGGAGUUGCUGUGGAUGUCUUAUUAAGUUCUUCAAGCAAAAAGACACACGUUCCCUCUGUUCUCCAGUGAAUCAUUUUGUGAGAUUCUCUAUGACUGGUGUUGUUUUCUCCUAUUGCCAAAAAAUAAAAUAAAAUAAAAUAAAAAAUGGUAUCUACGAG
This is a long non-coding RNA of Gallus gallus (chicken), 7055 nucleotides long. The record is from Ensembl. NCBI's taxonomy places the organism in Eukaryota, Metazoa, Chordata, Aves, Galliformes, Phasianidae.